This 427-nucleotide ribosomal RNA is filed under the name uncultured bacterium. Its description in RNAcentral is "bacterial SSU rRNA". It matches the Rfam family "Bacterial small subunit ribosomal RNA", at positions 355 to 774 of the family's 1533-position model. The record is from RNAcentral.
UAGGGAAUAUUGGACAAUGGGCGCAAGCCUGAUCCAGCCAUGCCGCGUGAGUGAAGAAGGCCAUCGGGUUGUAAAGCUCUUUUGUCCGGAAAGAAAAGCAUCGGGUUAAUACCCAGGUGUUCUGACGGUACCGGAAGAAUAAGCACCGGCUAACUUCGUGCGAGCAGCCGCGGUAAUACGAAGGGUGCAAGCGUUACUCGGAAUUACUGGGCGUAAAGCGUGCGUAGGUGGUUUGUUAAGUCUGAUGUUAAAGCCCUGGGCUCAACCUGGGAAUGGCAUUGGAAACUGGCGGACUGGAGUGCUGUAGAGGGUAGCUGAAUUCCCGGUGUAGCAGUGAAAUGCGUAGAGAUCGGGAGGCACAUCCGUGGCGAAGUCUGCUACCUGGACCAGCACUGACACUGAGGCACGAAAGCGUGGGGAGCAAACA